AGUGAACGCUGGCGGUAGGCCUAACACAUGCAAGUCGAACGGCAGCACAGUAAGAGCUUGCUCUUACGGGUGGCGAGUGGCGGACGGGUGAGGAAUACAUCGGAAUCUACUUUUUCGUGGGGGAUAACGUAGGGAAACUUACGCUAAUACCGCAUACGACCUACGGGUGAAAGCAGGGGAUCUUCGGACCUUGCGCGAUUGAAUGAGCCGAUGUCGGAUUAGCUAGUUGGCGGGGUAAAGGCCCACCAAGGCGACGAUCCGUAGCUGGUCUGAGAGGAUGAUCAGCCACACUGGAACUGAGACACGGUCCAGACUCCUACGGGAGGCAGCAGUGGGGAAUAUUGGACAAUGGGCGCAAGCCUGAUCCAGCCAUACCGCGUGGGUGAAGAAGGCCUUCGGGUUGUAAAGCCCUUUUGUUGGGAAAUAAAAGCAGCAGGUUAAUACCCCGCUGUUCUGACGGUACCCAAAGAAUAAGCACCGGCUAACUUCGUG
RNAcentral lists this ribosomal RNA (492 nucleotides) under uncultured bacterium. RNAcentral describes it as "partial 16S ribosomal RNA". It matches the Rfam family "Bacterial small subunit ribosomal RNA", at positions 29 to 507 of the family's 1533-position model. The record is from RNAcentral.